Carassius auratus (goldfish) is the source of this 434-nucleotide long non-coding RNA. RefSeq lists it as uncharacterized. The record is from RefSeq and is a predicted model, not a curated record. NCBI's taxonomy places the organism in Eukaryota, Metazoa, Chordata, Actinopteri, Cypriniformes, Cyprinidae. The transcript is spliced from 4 exons.
GUAGUUCAGUGAGAGACUCGGAGAAAGUGAAACUUACUUGAUCAACAACAUGGACGCCAGAAACCAUCGAACUCUUUAAACAACAGAAUAUUGAGUCGUUCAGAGACACUUGUGAACACAUCUGAUACUCACAGCAGGUCAUAGUUCAGAUUGCUCAGCUUUAAGAGGGAAAGAACAAUGGCAGAAUCUUCACUAACAGCAAGAAAAACCAGGAGACGGAGUAUUGACCUGGAUCCUCCAUCAAUGUCAUCCUCCAUGAGUUCACUGUCUGAGGAGAUUCAGUGCUCUGUAUGUCUGGAUGUGUUCACUGAUCCAGUCUCGACUCCAUGUGGACACAACUUCUGCAAGAUCUGUCUGAAUAAGUGCUGGGACAACAGCCAGACCUGCAGCUGUCCAUACUGUAAAGAAACAUUCAAGCAAAGACCUGAUCUCAA